AGGAUGAACGCUGGCGGCGUGCUUAACACAUGCAAGUCGAACGAUGAAGCGGAGCUUGCUCUGUGGAUUAGUGGCGAACGGGUGAGUAACACGUGAGUAACCUGCCCUUGACUCUGGGAUAAGCACUGGAAACGGUGUCUAAUACCGGAUACGAGCUUCAGCCGCAUGGCUAGGAGUUGGAAAGAAUUUCGGUCAAGGAUGGACUCGCGGCCUAUCAGGUAGUUGGUGAGGUAAUGGCCCACCAAGCCUACGACGGGUAGCCGGCCUGAGAGGGUGACCGGCCACACUGGGACUGAGACACGGCCCAGACUCCUACGGGAGGCAGCAGUGGGGAAUAUUGCACAAUGGGCGCAAGCCUGAUGCAGCAACGCCGCGUGAGGGACGACGGCCUUCGGGUUGUAACCUCUUUAGUAGGGAAGAAGCGAAGUGACGGUACUGCAGAAAAGCACCGGCUAACUACGCGCCAGCAGCCGCGGU
This 477-nucleotide ribosomal RNA is filed under the name uncultured bacterium. RNAcentral's name for it is "SSU rRNA". It matches the Rfam family "Bacterial small subunit ribosomal RNA", at positions 26 to 521 of the family's 1533-position model. The record is from RNAcentral.